RNAcentral lists this ribosomal RNA (378 nucleotides) under Escherichia coli. RNAcentral's name for it is "bacterial SSU rRNA". It matches the Rfam family "Bacterial small subunit ribosomal RNA", at positions 593 to 970 of the family's 1533-position model. Lineage: Bacteria; Pseudomonadati; Pseudomonadota; Gammaproteobacteria; Enterobacterales; Enterobacteriaceae. The record is from RNAcentral.
UGUGAAAUCCCCGGGCUCAACCUGGGAACUGCAUCUGAUACUGGCAAGCUUGAGUCUCGUAGAGGGGGGUAGAAUUCCAGGUGUAGCGGUGAAAUGCGUAGAGAUCUGGAGGAAUACCGGUGGCGAAGGCGGCCCCCUGGACGAAGACUGACGCUCAGGUGCGAAAGCGUGGGGAGCAAACAGGAUUAGAUACCCUGGUAGUCCACGCCGUAAACGAUGUCGACUUGGAGGUUGUGCCCUUGAGGCGUGGCUUCCGGAGCUAACGCGUUAAGUCGACCGCCUGGGGAGUACGGCCGCAAGGUUAAAACUCAAAUGAAUUGACGGGGGCCCGCACAAGCGGUGGAGCAUGUGGUUUAAUUCGAUGCAACGCGAAGAACC